RNAcentral lists this long non-coding RNA (1489 nucleotides) under Sus scrofa (pig). Its description in RNAcentral is "lncRNA (ENSSSCG00015003407.1)". The record is from RNAcentral. Lineage: Eukaryota; Metazoa; Chordata; Mammalia; Artiodactyla; Suidae.
AUGAGAUUAACUCAGUGCAUCUCUCCUGAGCUCCCUGUAUGCUACACACAGGAGGUGUGGGCAAGGUGGUCCUGGACAGGGCCCUGGGCUCCCAGGACAAGUGGGCUGAGCCUGGCAGGAGGAUGGGAAGGCACAGGGCGAGUCCAGGAAAGGCCCACGGGCAGCGCCAGGGUGGCUGGAGCCGUGGGGCACACGGUCAGGAGACAAGUGAGGCCACACCAGCAAGGUCCGAGGGAGAGGCUGACUGUCCGGGAAGGCGGCUCCAGGGGGAGGGGCAAGUCCCGGGGCCUCCGGGGCAGCCCGGUGAUGGGCCGUCAGGGCUGGUCUCUUCUCUCUCGGCCACAGGUUCUCCAUCUCAGGCCCCGGGGAGUGCGUCUUCGUGGAGCCCACCAGGCUGGCGUCGACGGAGUGCCUGAUGACCCGGCCCUGGGUGUGCAGCAAGACGGCCUACACGUGAGAAAUCUGCACAGCCGGUCCAGCUGCCCAUGACGUCUGAAAACUAGCCGGUGUUUUAGAGGAAGAGAUGAGAUGCUGAACCACCUUGCAACAACAUCCACUAGGAUCCUGCAGUCCAGAGUGGAGAACCCAUUUGGGCCAAGACACAAACACAUCGAAGACAAAAUUGGAAUGACAGUACCAAUGAAUACAAAGAGCUUAUGAGGGCCAAGCACUGUGCUAAGCAUUUCACACACAAAGUAUGUUAAGCCCAUAGUAGUUGCUUAAUUUAAAAAAAAACAAAUGAUCGGGAGUUCCCAUUGUGGUAUAGCAGAAAUGAAUCCGACGGGGACCCAAGAGGAUGCGGGUUCGAUCCCUGGCCUCACUCAGUGGGUUAAGGAGCCGGCGUUGCAGUGAGCUGUGGUGCAGGUUGCAGACAUGGCUUGGACCUGACGUUGCUGGGGCUGUGGUGUAGGAUGGCAGCUGUAGCUCUGAUUAGACCCUAGCCUGGGAACCUCCAUAUGCCCCAGGUGUGGCCCUAAAAAAAAAAAAAAAAAAAAAAUCAUUGUCUGUUUCACUGUGAUGUAAGCUGAGCACAGUAUUUGAUUGAGCUAGCUUCUAUAGCACCUGCAUUUCAGAGGCUUGCACCACAGACUAAUGCAGAUCAGUGACGACAGGGGAAAGCAUUGCUCCCUCCAGAAUCUUUGAACAUAGAGGCUCACACAAGAUGUAUUUUAGGGGAUGCAGGAGAAGUGGCUGCCAUGCACCAAUAAUUUUCCUCUCCUUCCAGGUAUGUGGAAGGAUCAUAUUUCCUGGUCUGUUUGAGGGUUAGUGACUGAUGACGGCAGGGUUUUUUUUUUUGUUUUUUUUUUUUUUUGUAUUUUUAGGGCCGCACCUGUGGCAUGUGGAGGUUCCCAGGCUAGGGGUCGAAUUGGAGCUGUAGCCACUGGCCUACGCCAAAGCCACAGCAAUGCCAGAUCUGAGCUACAUCUGCAAACUACACCACAGCUUAUGGCAACACUGGAUCCUUAACCCGCUGAGCGGGUCCAGGGAU